ACCAGACUCCUACGGGAGGCAGCAGUGGGGAAUAUUGCACAAUGGGGGAAACCCUGAUGCAGCAACGCCGCGUGAAGGAAGACGGUUUUCGGAUUGUAAACUUCUGUUCUUAGUGAAGAAGAAUGACGGUAGCUAAGGAGCAAGCCACGGCUAACUACGUGCCAGCAGCCGCGGUAAUACGUAGGGGGCAAGCGUUAUCCGGAUUUACUGGGUGUAAAGGGAGCGUAGACGGCAGAGCAAGUCUGAAGUGAAAGCCCGCGGCCCAACUGCGGGACUGCUUUGGAAACUGCCCGGCUAGAGUGCUGGAGAGGUAAGUGGAAUUCCUAGUGUAGCGGUGAAAUGCGUAGAUAUUAGGAGGAACACCAGUGGCGAAGGCGGCUUACUGGACUGUAACUGACGUUGAGGCUCGAAAGCGUGGGGAGCAAACAGGAUUAGAUACCCCCGUAGAC
RNAcentral lists this ribosomal RNA (449 nucleotides) under uncultured bacterium. Its description in RNAcentral is "bacterial SSU rRNA". It matches the Rfam family "Bacterial small subunit ribosomal RNA", at positions 330 to 795 of the family's 1533-position model. The record is from RNAcentral.